GAUCAUGGAUUCUAAUUAGGUCGUAUUACAAGCACAUGCACGUCAAUCGAUCAAUUGGUCUUCAACUCUUGAAUUGGUUCCAAGCCUCCUUGAUUCGAUCCUUGACCAACUCUUGAUCCAAUCGCCAUCAACCGCUUAGACCCCUGUUCAUCUCAUGCCUUGUUUUCAACUUGAUCGUUGACGUACAUCACAUCACAGAAAUACAACCAGAUGUAAAAUAAAAAUAAUAAUAAAUUACAUCUUCUUUUAGGAGGCACGCAGGCCUCUCAAAACAUCAAAUAAGAUGCAUGCAAGCAUCUGAAAAAUUACAUGACAUUGCAGAUCACAUCGCAGGUCUUUACAUUUAAUACCAAAAGGGUUUGAAUCCUAUGAUCAUCACCACAUGCAGCAAUUAUAAUUUUCAGAUCUGAAAACUAACUGAUUAUCUCUUGACAUAGGUUGCUGAUCAUGCUAAUCAUGAUUCUAAACUUUGUAAUCUCAUUAACAAUGCAAUUAGAAUCAUCAUCUUAUCACAUAAAAAUCA
RNAcentral lists this long non-coding RNA (523 nucleotides) under Phoenix dactylifera (date palm). RNAcentral's name for it is "long non-coding RNA (PDAC_LNC011302)". The record is from RNAcentral. Lineage: Eukaryota; Viridiplantae; Streptophyta; Magnoliopsida; Arecales; Arecaceae.